CACGUAGGCACCAAGCGUUGUCCGGAUUUAUUGGGCGUAAAGAGCUCGUAGGCGGUUCGGUAAGUCGGGUGUGAAAACUUUGGGCUUAACCCAAAGCGUGCAUCCGAUACUGCUGUGACUUGAGUUCGGUAGGGGAGUGGGGAAUUCCUAGUGUAGCGGUGAAAUGCGCAGAUAUUAGGAGGAACACCGGUGGCGAAGGCGCCACUCUGGGCCGAAACUGACGCUGAGGAGCGAAAGCGUGGGUAGCAAACAGG
Molecule: ribosomal RNA, 254 nt
Filed under: uncultured bacterium
Lineage: Bacteria
Description: partial 16S ribosomal RNA
Rfam family: Bacterial small subunit ribosomal RNA
Source: RNAcentral